UACAGAGGUGGCAAGCGUUGUUCGGAAUUACUGGGCGUAAAGCGUGCGCAGGCGGCGCGUUAAGACAGGUGUGAAAGCCCCGAGCUUAACUUGGGAAUUGCGCUUGUGACUGGCGUGCUGGAGUGUGGCAGAGGGAGGUGGAAUUCCACGUGUAGCAGUGAAAUGCGUAGAGAUGUGGAGGAACACCGAUGGCGAAGGCAGCCUCCUGGGCCAGCACUGACGCUCAUGCACGAAAGCGUGGGGAGCAAACAGG
RNAcentral lists this ribosomal RNA (253 nucleotides) under uncultured bacterium. Its description in RNAcentral is "partial 16S ribosomal RNA". It matches the Rfam family "Bacterial small subunit ribosomal RNA", at positions 524 to 776 of the family's 1533-position model. The record is from RNAcentral.